AGUCUCGUGGAUUAGAUACCCUGGUAGUCCACGCCGUAAACGAUGAGAACUAGCCGUUGGGGCCCUUGAGGCCUUAGUGGCGCAGCUAACGCGAUAAGUUCUCCGCCUGGGGAGUACGGCCGCAAGGUUAAAACUCAAAUGAAUUGACGGGGGCCCGCACAAGCGGUGGAGCAUGUUGUUUAAUUCGAUGCAACGCGAAGAACCUUACCACCCCUUGACAUCCUCGGAACUGCCUGGAGACAGGCAGGUGC
RNAcentral lists this ribosomal RNA (251 nucleotides) under uncultured Oceanospirillales bacterium. RNAcentral's name for it is "partial 16S ribosomal RNA". It matches the Rfam family "Bacterial small subunit ribosomal RNA", at positions 767 to 1017 of the family's 1533-position model. Lineage: Bacteria; Pseudomonadati; Pseudomonadota; Gammaproteobacteria; Oceanospirillales. The record is from RNAcentral.